GAAACCAGGCCGUCUAAGAACAUCCAAAUGUAUUGACUCAAAGCAUCUAUUUCUCAUUUUCCCCCUUUGAACCCACCACACAUAAAAGCCCUGAUUGACAAGGAAGAGCAGAAGCCCACACCUCCUGACCUGCAUGCAUUCCAUAGUUCAGUCUGGUGUCAGCAUCUACUGUCCAGUGGCUUCCUGCUCUGCACCAGGCGCCUGCCCUCUGCUCACAUUCCAGCACCUUCUCUGCCUGAGUGUCAAGCAAGAGGAGCUGGCUUCAGUGGCUCCUGAGAAUAAACUCAGGUUUAACCAACUUGAUACCUGUUUUUAUUGUGGCAACCUGUAACCUAGAUGUGUCUCUAUAAAG
This 352-nucleotide long non-coding RNA is filed under the name Mus pahari (shrew mouse). Its description in RNAcentral is "lncRNA (MGP_PahariEiJ_G0005925.1)". The record is from RNAcentral. Lineage: Eukaryota; Metazoa; Chordata; Mammalia; Rodentia; Muridae.